RNAcentral lists this long non-coding RNA (225 nucleotides) under Panax ginseng (ginseng). RNAcentral's name for it is "long non-coding RNA (PGIN_LNC005890)". Lineage: Eukaryota; Viridiplantae; Streptophyta; Magnoliopsida; Apiales; Araliaceae. The record is from RNAcentral.
AAAUCCUUUUAGAAUUCCACUUGUCUGGUCUAUCCCUUGCUUCUUGCAUCCUCUUCAUACAAUAGUCCCUAAGUCCUUCCAUUAGCCCAAGUAUUGGUUUACCUCUUGGCACUCCAAUUUUGCUGUUAAAAACUUCACAUAAAUUGUUGCAUAACAUAUCACAUUUGGGAAAACUACUGAAAUAAGCCCUACACCAGUGCACAGGGUCUUUGUCAUCAAGCCAGG